GCGAGGGUGGCGGAAUUGGUAGACGCAACAGAUUUAGGUUCUGUCGGUCGCAAGGCCGUGGGGGUUCGAGUCCCCCCCUUCGCAC
RNAcentral lists this transfer RNA (85 nucleotides) under Gemmata sp. SH-PL17. RNAcentral's name for it is "tRNA-Leu". It matches the Rfam family "tRNA". Rfam says of the family: Transfer RNA (tRNA) molecules are approximately 80 nucleotides in length. Their secondary structure includes four short double-helical elements and three loops (D, anti-codon, and T loops). Further hydrogen bonds mediate the characteristic L-shaped molecular structure. tRNAs have two regions of fundamental functional importance: the anti-codon, which is responsible for specific mRNA codon recognition, and the 3' end, to which the tRNAs corresponding amino acid is attached (by aminoacyl-tRNA synthetases). tRNAs cope with the degeneracy of the genetic code in two manners: having more than one tRNA (with a specific anti-codon) for a particular amino acid; and 'wobble' base-pairing, i.e. permitting non-standard base-pairing at the 3rd anti-codon position. The record is from RNAcentral. Lineage: Bacteria; Pseudomonadati; Planctomycetota; Planctomycetia; Gemmatales; Gemmataceae.